UACGUAGGGUGCAAGCGUUAAUCGGAAUUACUGGGCGUAAAGCGUGCGCAGGCGGUUUCUUAAGUCAGAUGUGAAAGCCCCGGGCUUAACCUGGGAACUGCGUUUGAAACUGGGUGACUUGAGUGUGGCAGAGGGGGGUGGAAUUCCACGUGUAGCAGUGAAAUGCGUAGAUAUGUGGAGGAACACCGAUGGCGAAGGCAGCCCCCUGGAUCAGCACUGACGCUCAUGCACGAAAGCGUGGGGAGCAAACAGG
RNAcentral lists this ribosomal RNA (253 nucleotides) under uncultured bacterium. Its description in RNAcentral is "partial 16S ribosomal RNA". It matches the Rfam family "Bacterial small subunit ribosomal RNA", at positions 524 to 776 of the family's 1533-position model. The record is from RNAcentral.